Long non-coding RNA from Pleuronectes platessa (European plaice), 1009 nucleotides. RefSeq lists it as uncharacterized. Lineage: Eukaryota; Metazoa; Chordata; Actinopteri; Pleuronectiformes; Pleuronectidae. The transcript has 2 exons. The record is from RefSeq and is a predicted model, not a curated record.
AUCGUUUACAGCGCGACACUAAUGUGUAAAGUUUGUAAUUUAAGUAAUCUGUAAGUUAUUUAAAAUGUGUCAUGUGUUUCAUACGAUCAUAGAAGUCGAGUUGCUUCAAUCUUUUAUGCUUUAUUUUCAUUUUUGAGUUAGUUCAGAGUGUUACAGCAAGCUAGCAAACAUGUAUUAAGUUUGCUAGCUUGCUGAACUAUGUAUUUUUUUUGUUAGGCAUGUGACCAAAUGAUGAGUGUUUUCUGUUCUUUUGCUGAACCUCUGAACAGACAUUAGAAUGUUCUAGAUCUGGCUGAGACCGGCAUGUGACCAAAUGAUGAAUGUUUUCUGCUCUUUUGCUGAACCUCUGAACAGAAAUAAAAGUCCUGUGUCAAGAAACGAACACGUCCUGGUCCUCAUCCAUGUUUAGACACAACGCAGAGAAAACCAUCACCAGAGAGAGACUGGUUACACUGGCUGAUCGUAGUGGUAAUGGUGGAUCCUGUGUCGCGUUGGCGUCAUAUAAUGGUGGUGGACCAGGGCCGAGGUGGUGGAUGAUGAUGGAUCCUAACUGGCGGCAGUGGACAAUGACUGUGGACUAUAGUGGAUCUGGUCUGGAUGGUGGAUCAUGGUCCUGCUGGUUACUGACCAGAGACUAUGAUGCAGCAGGACUGAUUAACAUAUAGUAUUGAAGUUAUCCUUCAAGAUGUUUACCCUCAUCAAUGCUGCUAACAACUUUAAUCCUGAUGAUGUUUCCUUCACUUGACAUCUGUUGACUUGUGUCCGUCCUGGGAGACGGGUCCUCACAUGUGUCUCUGAGGUUUCUGUGUAUUUGUACCUGUUAAGAGUUUUUUAGUAGUUUGUCCUGACUCUUGUUGAGGGUGAAGGACAGAGGAUGUCUCACCAUGUUAAAGCCUAUGAGACAAACUGUGAUUCUUGAAUAUGGGCUAUACAAAUAAAGUUUGAUUGAUUGAUCUCCUGGGAAGUUACCUACCACACACAAUAAAUAAAAAAAGAGCUUCACAUUAAA